RNAcentral lists this ribosomal RNA (440 nucleotides) under uncultured bacterium. RNAcentral describes it as "partial 16S ribosomal RNA". It matches the Rfam family "Bacterial small subunit ribosomal RNA", at positions 338 to 795 of the family's 1533-position model. The record is from RNAcentral.
CCUACGGGUGGCAGCAGUGGGGGAUAUUGCACAAUGGGGGAAACCCUGAUGCAGCGACGCCGCGUGAGUGAAGAAGUAUUUCGGUAUGUAAAGCUCUAUCAGCAGGGAAGAAAAUGACAGUACCUGACUAAGAAGCCCCGGCUAACUACGUGCCAGCAGCCGCGGUAAUACGUAGGGGGCAAGCGUUAUCCGGAUUUACUGGGUGUAAAGGGAGCGUAGACGGUUAUGUAAGUCUGGAGUGAAAGCCCGGGGCCCAACCCCGGGACUGCUUUGGAAACUGUGUAACUGGAGUACAGGAGGGGCAGGCGGAAUUCCUGGUGUAGCGGUGAAAUGCGUAGAUAUCAGGAGGAACACCGGCGGCGAAGGCGGCCUACUGGACUGCAACUGACACUGAGGCUCGAAAGUGUGGGUAUCAAACAGGAUUAGAUACCCGUGUAGUC